AAUGAACGUUGGCGGCGUGGAUUAGGCAUGCAAGUCGUGCGGCAGUCCUCCGUAAGGGGGACGAGAGCGGCGAAAGGGAGAGUAACGCGUGGAUUACCAACCCUCAGGACAGGGAUAGCCACGGGAAACUGUGGGUAAUACCUGAUAACGUCUCCGGACCAAAGGUGUGAGUCCGCCUGGGGACGGGUCCGCGUCCUAUUAGCUAGUUGGUGGGGUAAUGGCCUACCAAGGCGAUGAUGGGUACGGGGUGUGAGAGCAUGCCCCCGUUCACUGGGACUGAGACACUGCCCAGACACCUACGGGAGGCUG
RNAcentral lists this ribosomal RNA (309 nucleotides) under uncultured Planctomycetota bacterium. RNAcentral's name for it is "bacterial SSU rRNA". It matches the Rfam family "Bacterial small subunit ribosomal RNA", at positions 29 to 351 of the family's 1533-position model. The record is from RNAcentral. Lineage: Bacteria; Pseudomonadati; Planctomycetota.